AGCAGUCGCCGCGGGAAUACAGAGGGUGCGAGCGUUAAUCGGAUUUACUGGGCGUAAAGCGUGCGUAGGCGGCUUCUUAAGUCGGAUGUGAAAUCCCUGAGCUUAACUUAGGAAUUGCAUUCGAUACUGGGAAGCUAGAGUAUGGGAGAGGAUGGUAGAAUUCCAGGUGUAGUGGUGAAAUGCGUAGAGAUCUGGAGGAAUACCGAUGGCGAAGGCAGCCAUCUGGCCUAAUACUGACGCUGAGGUACGAAAGCAUGGGGAGCAAACAGGAUUAGAUACCCCCGUAGUCCCUGUCUCUUAUAC
This 303-nucleotide ribosomal RNA is filed under the name uncultured bacterium. RNAcentral describes it as "partial 16S ribosomal RNA". It matches the Rfam family "Bacterial small subunit ribosomal RNA", at positions 507 to 807 of the family's 1533-position model. The record is from RNAcentral.